This is a non-coding RNA of Meleagris gallopavo (turkey), 2553 nucleotides long. The record is from RefSeq and is a predicted model, not a curated record. Lineage: Eukaryota; Metazoa; Chordata; Aves; Galliformes; Phasianidae.
AAACAUGGAGAGCCUUAAAGUAUGUGUCCUUUCCCAAAAACAAAGCAGGAUUUUCUGACAGAUAACUGGUAUUUUUCUUACCUUCCUUAGUUUGAAGUAAAAGGAGUUGAAUAUGAAUAAAUAAAGCAAUUGGCCAUAGCUUACAACCAUUGAAAAGAAUGAAAUAGAGUUUGUUGAAAAUUGAACUUUUCAUUCAAAAUUCCUUUGUAUUUUAAACGAUGAGGAGAAAAAUGAAAGUGUCCUCUUCUUUCAGGAAAAUUGGAGCUGCAAGCAGGAGCUGACAUCCCCAGAGGCAUGCUGGUGAGAUUCUGAGAAGACAGACUGGCAGAAGAGCCAGCAAGACUGACUUACCAUGUGUGAAUAAACUCAGUAACCAUUUCUGCAUUCUUUGGUACCUCCAUUUUACAUGGUCCCUACAGGACAUAAAGUAAAUGGGGCUGCAAAUGAAGAAACGGAUGCACGUGUGGAAAAUCAACCCGUACAGAAGACAGAUGCUUGUUUUCUUGUGGCAGAAAUGCGGAUGAUGCCCUAUGACAGUUGUGAAGAACACCAACAAAAUGGUUGCUGGAAAAUAGCAGCAAUCACCUCUGUUACUCUACAGAUGCCCUUUGUGAUAGGCAUUAGUACAGAGCUUUCUCCUUCACAAUUAUUAAAACAGAGUUCUGCCAUAUUUGGAGAGCAGUAUUCAGAUGCAGAUUGCCUUAAAUCCCAUCAACCUAUUCAAGCGUUUGUACGCAAGUGUGCCUGUUUCUGUGUAUAUGUGUGCAUGUGUUUAGAUGCAUUUAUCUAUAUAUACAACACUCACUCUGUGCACACCUUCUCUCCAUCCUCUCGCUCAGAGAGAAAGAGCUAAAUUGUCAAAGGCGAGAAUGUGUAUUUUCCAGGCUACUUUGUCAGAUGUUCGUGUGUGUGUCUUAUAAAUAUUUCAUACCAAAUAUUUAACAUUAUUCCUUCCCCAAUCGGAUCAGCUUUGAAAUGCUCCUCAAAGUGAAUUCUCCCCUAACAAUGGCUUGACGCAAAAGCCUUUUUUCUCUCUUAAGAAGAGGAGGCUGCACAUGGUCUGCUACCAUAGCAGCAUGAAUAGUUCUUAUUUAAUGGAAAAUAAAAGAUACUUUACAUUAAUUCAGUGGGGGAUGGAAAGCUGGGCACAUGCGUACCUUGUGCUUCAAACAUGGAGGAGCAUCAUACCUUGACCUCCCCUCCUCUGGUCCCAUGAUUAUUACCCGGCUUGCAUUAGAACCGUAAUGGGAAGUGACAAGUUUAUGUAAAUGAUCCACACAAGGAUUUUGCUCUUGUAAAACAGAGCAGUUACUCUGGGCUUUCUAAUUAUUUCAUGCCUUGUGGUUCUGUGACGGGGCAGAGAUGACUAUUACUUGAAAAGUAUAUUGUGAUUGACAAGCCACUGUCCCCCUGGAACUCAUUAAGGCCUGUGCUUUGCAAGAGGGGGUAGAAAACUCUACCAGGCACACCACAUGCACUCAGGCGCACGCACACAUGCUUGCCCUAGUGCCAGUUGUUCUUUCAGAUCGUUUGUUUUUACACUAGUAGAGAAAAGCAAAAUCUGCAUGUAUCUCAAAAAAGUUCCACAUCCUGGUUACAAAUUGACCGAUUAUCAUCUGCUUUUCCAUUUUUAACUUAAAAUCUAAGAUUAACAGCAACAUAUCUAUCAAACGUAUAAAGGUCUUUGGAUUUUACUUACUGUAUGGAAAAAGAUCUUUUAUAUCAUAAUGUUUGACAGAAUGGAGAGCAGAGAAGGGCUUGGAUAAGAAAAGAGGGCUACGAUAAAAGCUGCCACUAGUACAUUUCUGCUGCAAUGCGAUUUGUGCAAGUGCCUUCCAGUACGUAUGGAGGGCCAUCCUGCUGCCUCUGCGUGACAUGUUUGCCUUUCUUUCUUAAUUGAUUUUUCUGGCCUUCAAACUUGCAAACAAAAUGACAAUUUGUUUGGUGAAAGUAGAGCUCCUGUCUUUUGAAACAUAUACUGCAUUCCAACCAUGGAGAGAGGAAAAAUCCUAUUCAGCAGCUGCAUUAAUGCUUUCCAUUGUAGAAGUGGUUUUGAAUUCUGCUGCUGCUUUUGGAUGUAACACAGUUUAGCAUAAAAUCAAUUCAUUGUUAACUCCAUAGUGGUUGGAUCUUAUGGGCCUGCAGCAUUUCUUACUUUCAGUUACUUUUUAUUUGUGGUUGAGAAACUCUGGAAAAAAAACUUCAGAAAAGCACUUGGCCCACUUGAAUUCUUCCAUUAGAGAGCACUGGCACUCUGCAUACAUCUAGCUUUCUCAGUGUUGGCUCAAAUAGAAUUAAAUAAAUAAACAAAACAAAAAGAACAUACACUAAAACCUCACCUCUUUUUGGCUUUACUGUUUCAAUUUGACCAGGCAUUGAGUACUCAAUUUGUGAUGUUUCUAGCAACCCAUAUGACUAUGUCUGUUCUGUUUCAUAAAGGUACUACAUUGAAGUAACAGCAGCCCAUCAUCUGUGUAUAAUUCCUUUGUUAGACCUAAUCUGUCAGAUUUCCCUCCAAAACGUCUGGGACAUGGACAUUCAAUUGGGAAAAAA